RNAcentral lists this ribosomal RNA (2916 nucleotides) under Vibrio parahaemolyticus. RNAcentral's name for it is "bacterial LSU rRNA". It matches the Rfam family "Bacterial large subunit ribosomal RNA". Lineage: Bacteria; Pseudomonadati; Pseudomonadota; Gammaproteobacteria; Vibrionales; Vibrionaceae. The record is from RNAcentral.
GUUGUAUGGUUAAGUGACUAAGCGUACACGGUGGAUGCCUUGGCAGUCAGAGGCGAUGAAAGACGUAGUAACUUGCGAUAAGCCCAGAUUAGGUAGUAACAACCAUUUGAGUCUGGGAUUUCUGAAUGGGGAAACCCACGUGCAUAAGCACGUAUCCUUACCUGAAUACAUAGGGUAAGGAGGCGAACCGGGGGAACUGAAACAUCUAAGUACCCCGAGGAAAAGAAAUCAACCGAGAUUCCGAAAGUAGCGGCGAGCGAAAUUGGACUAGCCCUUAAGCUUUACACGCGUUAGACGAACGGUCUGGAAAGUCCGACGAUACAGGGUGAUAGUCCCGUAGUUGACGACGUGUGUUCAGUGAAAUCGAGUAGGGCGGGACACGUGAUAUCCUGUCUGAAUAUGGGGGGACCAUCCUCCAAGGCUAAAUACUACUGACUGACCGAUAGUGAACCAGUACCGUGAGGGAAAGGCGAAAAGAACCCCUGUGAGGGGAGUGAAAUAGAACCUGAAACCGUGUACGUACAAGCAGUAGGAGCAGGCUUUGUCCUGUGACUGCGUACCUUUUGUAUAAUGGGUCAGCGACUUAUAUUCAGUGGCAAGGUUAACCAUCUAGGGGAGCCGUAGGGAAACCGAGUCUUAACUGGGCGUUCAGUCUCUGGAUAUAGACCCGAAACCAGGUGAUCUAGCCAUGGGCAGGUUGAAGGUUGAGUAACAUCAACUGGAGGACCGAACCGACUAAUGUUGAAAAAUUAGCGGAUGACUUGUGGCUAGGGGUGAAAGGCCAAUCAAACCUGGAGAUAGCUGGUUCUCCCCGAAAGCUAUUUAGGUAGCGCCUCGGACGAAUACUACUGGGGGUAGAGCACUGUUAAGGCUAGGGGGUCAUCCCGACUUACCAACCCUUUGCAAACUCCGAAUACCAGUAAGUACUAUCCGGGAGACACACGGCGGGUGCUAACGUCCGUCGUGGAGAGGGAAACAACCCAGACCGCCAGCUAAGGUCCCAAAUUACUACUAAGUGGGAAACGAUGUGGGAAGGCUCAGACAGCCAGGAUGUUGGCUUAGAAGCAGCCAUCAUUUAAAGAAAGCGUAAUAGCUCACUGGUCGAGUCGGCCUGCGCGGAAGAUGUAACGGGGCUAAGUAGUAAACCGAAGCUGCGGCAAUGUGCUUUUGCACAUUGGGUAGGGGAGCGUUCUGUAAGCGGUUGAAGGUGUGUGGUAACGCAUGCUGGACGUAUCAGAAGUGCGAAUGCUGACAUGAGUAACGAUAAAGGGGGUGAAAAACCUCCUCGCCGGAAGACCAAGGGUUCCUGUCCAACGUUAAUCGGGGCAGGGUAAGUCGACCCCUAAGGCGAGGCCGAAAGGCGUAGUCGAUGGGAAACGGGUUAAUAUUCCCGUACUUCUUACAAUUGCGAUGGGGGGACGGAGAAGGCUAGGUGGGCCUGGCGACGGUUGUCCAGGUUCAAGUGCGUAGGCUUAAGAGUUAGGUAAAUCCGGCUCUUUUUAAGGCUGAGACACGACGUCGAGCACCUACGGGUGUGAAGUCAUUGAUGCCAUGCUUCCAGGAAAAGCCUCUAAGCUUCAGAUUGUAAGGAAUCGUACCCCAAACCGACACAGGUGGUCGGGUAGAGAAUACCAAGGCGCUUGAGAGAACUCGGGUGAAGGAACUAGGCAAAAUGGUACCGUAACUUCGGGAGAAGGUACGCUCUUGACGGUGAAGUCCCUCGCGGAUGGAGCUGACGAGAGUCGCAGAUACCAGGUGGCUGCAACUGUUUAUUAAAAACACAGCACUGUGCAAAAUCGUAAGAUGACGUAUACGGUGUGACGCCUGCCCGGUGCCGGAAGGUUAAUUGAUGGGGUUAGACUUCGGUCGAAGCUCUUGAUCGAAGCCCCGGUAAACGGCGGCCGUAACUAUAACGGUCCUAAGGUAGCGAAAUUCCUUGUCGGGUAAGUUCCGACCUGCACGAAUGGCGUAAUGAUGGCCACGCUGUCUCCACCCGAGACUCAGUGAAAUUGAAAUCGCUGUGAAGAUGCAGUGUACCCGCGGCUAGACGGAAAGACCCCGUGAACCUUUACUACAGCUUGGCACUGAACAUUGACCCUACAUGUGUAGGAUAGGUGGGAGGCUUUGAAGCAGGUACGCCAGUAUCUGUGGAGCCGUCCUUGAAAUACCACCCUUGUAGUGUUGAUGUUCUAACGUCGACCCCUUAUCGGGGUUGCGGACAGUGCCUGGUGGGUAGUUUGACUGGGGCGGUCUCCUCCCAAAGAGUAACGGAGGAGCACGAAGGUGGGCUAAUCACGGUUGGACAUCGUGAGGUUAGUGCAAUGGCAUAAGCCCGCUUGACUGCGAGAAUGACAAUUCGAGCAGGUGCGAAAGCAGGUCAUAGUGAUCCGGUGGUUCUGAAUGGAAGGGCCAUCGCUCAACGGAUAAAAGGUACUCCGGGGAUAACAGGCUGAUACCGCCCAAGAGUUCAUAUCGACGGCGGUGUUUGGCACCUCGAUGUCGGCUCAUCACAUCCUGGGGCUGAAGUCGGUCCCAAGGGUAUGGCUGUUCGCCAUUUAAAGUGGUACGCGAGCUGGGUUUAGAACGUCGUGAGACAGUUCGGUCCCUAUCUGCCGUGGGCGUUGGAAGAUUGAAGGGGGCUGCUCCUAGUACGAGAGGACCGGAGUGGACGAACCUCUGGUGUUCGGGUUGUGUCGCCAGACGCAUUGCCCGGUAGCUAAGUUCGGAAUCGAUAACCGCUGAAAGCAUCUAAGCGGGAAGCGAGCCCUGAGAUGAGUCUUCCCUGAUACUUUAAGUAUCCUAAAGGGUUGUCGGAGACUACGACGUUGAUAGGUCAGGUGUGUAAGUGCUGUGAGGCAUUGAGCUAACUGAUACUAAUUGCCCGUGAGGCUUAACCAUACAACACCCAAGGGGUUU